This 700-nucleotide ribosomal RNA is filed under the name uncultured Burkholderia sp. RNAcentral describes it as "bacterial SSU rRNA". It matches the Rfam family "Bacterial small subunit ribosomal RNA", at positions 61 to 756 of the family's 1533-position model. The record is from RNAcentral. Lineage: Bacteria; Pseudomonadati; Pseudomonadota; Betaproteobacteria; Burkholderiales; Burkholderiaceae.
GUCGAACGGCAGCACGGGAGCAAUCCUGGUGGCGAGUGGCGAACGGGUGAGUAAUACAUCGGAACGUGUCCUGUAGUGGGGGAUAGCCCGGCGAAAGCCGGAUUAAUACCGCAUACGCUCUACGGAGGAAAGGGGGGGAUCGCAAGACCUCCCGCUACAGGGGCGGCCGAUGGCAGAUUAGCUAGUUGGUGGGGUAAAGGCCUACCAAGGCGACGAUCUGUAGCUGGUCUGAGAGGACGACCAGCCACACUGGGACUGAGACACGGCCCAGACUCCUACGGGAGGCAGCAGUGGGGAAUUUUGGACAAUGGGGGAAACCCUGAUCCAGCAAUGCCGCGUGUGUGAAGAAGGCCUUCGGGUUGUAAAGCACUUUUGUCCGGAAAGAAAACCUCUGGGUUAAUACCCUGGGGGGAUGACGGUACCGGAAGAAUAAGCACCGGCUAACUACGUGCCAGCAGCCGCGGUAAUACGUAGGGUGCAAGCGUUAAUCGGAAUUACUGGGCGUAAAGCGUGCGCAGGCGGUUCGCUAAGACAGAUGUGAAAUCCCCGGGCUUAACCUGGGAACUGCAUUUGUGACUGGCGGGCUAGAGUAUGGCAGAGGGGGGUAGAAUUCCACGUGUAGCAGUGAAAUGCGUAGAGAUGUGGAGGAAUACCGAUGGCGAAGGCAGCCCCCUGGGCCAAUACUGACGCUCAUGCACGA